UUAAUGAUUCCCUGCAAUAGAAGCCGAGGUCCCUACAAAGUGCCUUCUCUUCCACUCUGCUGAAGGAUAAUAGGAGAAAGCUGAAACCGAAGGGAACUUUGCCCAAAAAGGGGAGGCUGUGUUACUAAGCUCUCCCUUUAUCUUGGACUUGGCUGGAGCUGAGGGACCUGAGCUUUUUUAAGGUUUUAUGAGCUGCACCCAGAGGGUACACAGCAGAAAGGACCAUAUUAACAGAGUACAGUAAAUGAACUUCCAGUCCAGCAGUGGGUGGGAUUGCUUUGAGUCUCCUGCUGGUCCCUGACAGGCUGAUCUGUGUCCCCCUCUGAAAGUAGGAGAUUGGAUGUGAUAGGGUGAAGUACAGCAUCUCUCUGGCUGACUGAUAGUAGGCGUUCAAGAUCACUGUCUUACACAGGAGACACAGAGAUCACUUUGGAAAAAUACCCCAGCCAUUAGCUCCUGUUGACAAGAAGGAAGACAGACAAAGACUGACAUCAAUGGGACAGGGGACCCAUAGCCUGGUACAGCCAGCCUGAGGAUCUGAU
This is a non-coding RNA of Pelobates cultripes (western spadefoot toad), 542 nucleotides long. NCBI's taxonomy places the organism in Eukaryota, Metazoa, Chordata, Amphibia, Anura, Pelobatidae. The record is from the annotation of a GenBank genome assembly.